This 29-nucleotide non-coding RNA is filed under the name Cricetulus griseus (Chinese hamster). The record is from RNAcentral. Lineage: Eukaryota; Metazoa; Chordata; Mammalia; Rodentia; Cricetidae.
CACCAGGGAGUGGCGCUGUUGGAGGAAGU